Molecule: ribosomal RNA, 483 nt
Filed under: uncultured bacterium
Lineage: Bacteria
Description: SSU rRNA
Rfam family: Bacterial small subunit ribosomal RNA
Source: RNAcentral
AGGACGAACGCUGGCGGCGCGCUUAACACAUGCAAGUCGAGCGAGAACCGAAGCCUUCGGGCCUCGGGGACAGCGGCGAACGGGUGAGUAACACGUGGGUAAUCUGCCCUUGGUACCGGGAUAGCCCGGGGAAACUCGGAUUAAUACCGGAUGGCCCAGCAGCUCCUCGGAGCGGUUGGAAAAGGUAGCUUCGGCCUCCGACCAAGGACGAGCCCGCGGCGGAUUAGCUUGUUGGUGGGGUAACGGCCUACCAAGGCGACGAUCCGUAGCUGGUCUGAGAGGACGAUCAGCCACACUGGGACUGAGACACGGCCCAGACUCCUACGGGAGGCAGCAGUAGGGAAUCUUGCGCAAUGGGCGAAAGCCUGACGCAGCAACGCCGCGUGAGGGAUGAAGGCUCUAGGGUUGUAAACCUCUUUCAAGUGGGGACGAUAAUGACGGUACCGCAGAAGAAGCUCCGGCCAACUACGUGCCAGCAGCCGC